Long non-coding RNA from Chenopodium quinoa (quinoa), 434 nucleotides. RefSeq lists it as uncharacterized. The transcript is spliced from 3 exons. The record is from RefSeq and is a predicted model, not a curated record. NCBI's taxonomy places the organism in Eukaryota, Viridiplantae, Streptophyta, Magnoliopsida, Caryophyllales, Amaranthaceae.
GAAGAAAUUCAACAAUCGCAACAACAUUCACAGAAAGAAACCGAAAAAUAUAUUUCGAAUUAGAGAGAUAAAGAGAAUGAUGAUUCAGAGAAGAAUCAUGUUCGUUGAACAUAACAAGGCAUAGUCUGAAGAAACGUGAACCAAAUUAGGAAGCAAGGAUGCGGAACUGAUGCUAUUUGAAGAAAAACACUAAAUAUAGGUUAAAUCGAAGAUAAGCAAGGAAGUUUGCAAAUGAAUAGUACAUGUUAUAUGUUCAUUUAUGAAAGUGUAUAUGUUCAUUAAUGAAUGUGUAUAUGAUCAUAUCUUAAACUUCCUCCAUUUCUUUUUACUUGCAACACAGCCUUGUGGCACGUGUUUUGAGGUCGGGUUUAUAUAAUGUAAACGGAUAAAUUAUUCAUUAUAAUUUUUACAAAUGAUACUUAACCCUAUUCUAA